AUACGAAAGGUGCAAGCGUUGUUCGGAUUUACUGGGCGUAAAGAGAGUGUAGGUGGUUUAUUAAGUCGGAUGUGAAAUCCCGGGGCUCAACCUCGGAACUGCAUUCGAUACUGAUAGGCUAGAGUUUGGGAGGGGUAAGCGGAAUUCCGUGUGUAGCAGUGAAAUGCAUAGAUAUACGGAGGAACACCUGAGGCGAAGGCGGCUUACUGGACCAAUACGGACACUGAGACUCGAAAGCGUGGGUAGCAAACAGGAUUAGAUACCCUAGUAGUCC
This 274-nucleotide ribosomal RNA is filed under the name uncultured bacterium. Its description in RNAcentral is "partial 16S ribosomal RNA". It matches the Rfam family "Bacterial small subunit ribosomal RNA", at positions 523 to 796 of the family's 1533-position model. The record is from RNAcentral.